This 253-nucleotide ribosomal RNA is filed under the name uncultured bacterium. RNAcentral describes it as "partial 16S ribosomal RNA". It matches the Rfam family "Bacterial small subunit ribosomal RNA", at positions 524 to 776 of the family's 1533-position model. The record is from RNAcentral.
UACGGGGGGGGCAAGCGUUGUUCGGAAUUACUGGGCGUAAAGGGUUUGUAGGUGGCUUGUUAAGUCAGACGUGAAAUCCCUCAGCUUAACUGGGGAACUGCGUCUGAUACUGGCGAGCUUGAGUGCAGGAGAGGAACGCGGAAUUCCAGGUGUAGCGGUGAAAUGCGUAGAUAUCUGGAGGAACACCGGUGGCGAAGGCAGCACUCUGGGACGUGACUGACGCUGAGACGCGAAAGCGUGGGGAGCAAACAGG